GGGGCUGAUUCUGGAUUCGACGGGAUUUGCGAAGCCCAAGGAGCAUGCCGAGGGGCGGUUGGCCUCGUAAAAAGCCGCAAAAAAAUAGUCGCAAACGACGAAAACUACGCUUUAGCAGCUUAAUAACCUGCUCAGAGCCCUCUCUCCCUAGCCUCCGCUCUUAGGACGGGGAUCAAGAGAGGUCAAACCCAAAAGAGAUCGCGUGGAUGCCCUGCCUGGGGUUGAAGCGUUAAAUCUAAUCAGGCUAGUCUGUUAGUAGCGUGUCCAUCCGCAGCUGGCAGGCGAAUGUAAAGAUUGGACUAAGCAUGUAGUGCCGACGGUGUAGUAAUUUCGGACGCGGGUUCAACUCCCGCCAGCUCCACCA
Molecule: transfer-messenger RNA, 364 nt
Filed under: Enterobacteriaceae (enterobacteria)
Lineage: Bacteria; Pseudomonadati; Pseudomonadota; Gammaproteobacteria; Enterobacterales
Also listed under: 1 other name
Description: GCA-022846635 sp022846635 Standard tmRNA
Rfam family: transfer-messenger RNA
About the family: Bacterial tmRNA, also known as 10Sa RNA or SsrA, is named for its dual tRNA and mRNA-like properties. Its role is to liberate the mRNA from a stalled ribosome.
Source: RNAcentral